Non-coding RNA from Schizosaccharomyces pombe (fission yeast), 320 nucleotides. NCBI's taxonomy places the organism in Eukaryota, Fungi, Ascomycota, Schizosaccharomycetes, Schizosaccharomycetales, Schizosaccharomycetaceae. The record is from the annotation of a GenBank genome assembly.
AUCGACGCUGCUGACUUGAUCCAAAGUGUGAAAGAUGACUGGGAACAAAUUUUUUUUCUUGUGGAAUGUUAGAAACAGAUGUUCGAAAUCCACGAUAUUCUUUUUGAGGAGAGGGCGAACGUAAAUCAUCGACAGAAAGUGGCUUUAAGGUUGAUCGAUUCGUGAUAGAACCACUUCCCCCAAAAGACAUGUUUCCGGCAAUAUUACUAGAGUCUUGUGAUAGACUGUUGUGUAACAUAUGUUUUGCAACGUAUAUAAAUUAGCGGUAAGUUCAUUUGAAGGAGAUGGCUUGCAUGGAAUGAAUCAUGAAGCCUAGCGUA